UUUGUAGGUUUGUAAAAAUAAUUUAUUGCACUGAAAUUUAAGAUGACAUUUGUUCAGUAGGCAUAGAAUAGGUGAUAAUACUAUUACUACUACUCAUAAUAAUGUUGGGAAAGUUGUGUCUUUUGUCAUGACAAGUAGCAGAUAAACCAAGAUUUAUAUUUGGCUUGAAAGGGUGUGGAAUGGUGUAAUUUAUAUCUACAGUUGCAAGAAAAAAGUAUGUGAACCCUUUGGAAUGAUAUGGAUUUCUGCACAAAUUGGUCAUAAAAUGUGAUCUGAUCAUCAUCUAAGUAACAACAAUAGACAAUCACAGUCUGCUUAAACUAAUAACACACAAAGAAUGAAAUGUUGCCAUGUUUUUAUUGUACACACCAUGUAAACAUUCACAGUGCAGGUGGAAAAAGUAUGUGAACCCCUAGACUAAUGACAUCUCCAAGAGCUAAUUGGAGUGAGAUGUCAGCCAACUGGAGUCCAAUCAAUGAGAUGAGAUUGGAGGUGUUGGUUAUAGCUGCUCUGCCCUAUAAAAAAAAAACACACACCAGUUCUGGGUUUGCUUUUCACAAGAGGCAUUGCCUAAUGUGAAGGAUGCCUCGCACAAAAGAGCUCUCAGAAGACCUACGAUUAAGAAUUGAUGACUUGCAUAAAGCUGGAAAGGGUUAUAGAAGUAUCUCCAAAAGCCUUACUGUUCAUCAGUCCACAGUAAGACAAAUUGUCUAUGAAUGGAGAAAGUUCAGCACUGUAAAGAUGAUUGCAAGAGCACAGUGCAAACUGCUCAAUGAGGUGAAGAAGAAUCCUAGAGUGUCAGCUAAAGGCUUACAAAAGUCACUGGCAAAUGCUAACAUCCCUGUUAGCGAAUCUACAAUACGUAAAACACUAAACAAGAAUGGAUUUCAUUGGAGGAUACCACAGAGGAAGCCACUGCUGUCCAAACAAAACAUUACUGCACGUUUACAGUUUGCACAAGAGCACCUGGAUGUUCCACAGCAGUACUGGCAAAAUAUUCUGUGGACAGAUGAAACCAAAGUGGAGUUGUUUGGAAGAAACACACAACACUAUGUGUGGCGAAACAAAGGCACAGCACACCAUCAAAACCUCGUCCCAACUUUUAAGUAUGGUGGUGGGGGCAUCAUGGUUUGGGGCUGCUUUGCUGCGUCAGGGCCUGGACGGAUUGCUAUCAUCGAAGGAAAAAUGAAUUCCCAAGUUUAUCAAGACAUUUUGCAGGAGAACUUAAGGCCAUCUGUCUACCAGCUGAAGCUCAACAGAAGAUGGAUGGUGCAACAGGACAAUGACCCAAAGCAUAGAAGUAAAUCAACAGAAUGGCUUAAUCAGAAGAAAAUAUGCCUUCUGAAGUGGCCCAGUCAGAGUCCUGACCUCAACCCGAUUGAGAUGCUGUGGCAUGACCUCAAGAAAGUGAUUCACACCAGACAUCCCAAGAAUAUUGCUGAACUGAAACAGUUCUGUAAAGAGGAAUGGUCAAGAAUUACUCCUGACCGUUGUGCACGUCUGAUCUGCAACUACAGGAAACGUUUGGUUGAAGUUAUUGCUGCCAAAGGAGGUUCAACCAGUUAUUAAAUCCAAGGGUUCACAUACUUUUUCCACCUGCAC
Molecule: non-coding RNA, 1602 nt
Organism: Pelobates cultripes (western spadefoot toad)
Lineage: Eukaryota; Metazoa; Chordata; Amphibia; Anura; Pelobatidae
Source: the annotation of a GenBank genome assembly